UACGUAGGGAGCGAGCGUUGUCCGGAAUUACUGGGUGUGAAGGGAGCGUGGGCGGGAUUGCAAGUCAGAUGUGAAAUACAUGGGCUCAACCCAUGGGCUGCAUUUGAAACUGUAGUUCUUGAGUGAAGUAGAGGUAAGCGGAAUUCCUGGUGUAGCGGUGAAAUGCGUAGAUAUCAGGAGGAACACCGGGCGAGGGCGGCUUACUGGGCUUUUACUGACGCUGAGGCUCGAAAGCGUGGGGAGCAAACAG
RNAcentral lists this ribosomal RNA (250 nucleotides) under uncultured prokaryote. Its description in RNAcentral is "partial 16S ribosomal RNA". It matches the Rfam family "Bacterial small subunit ribosomal RNA", at positions 524 to 775 of the family's 1533-position model. The record is from RNAcentral.